Molecule: ribosomal RNA, 490 nt
Filed under: uncultured bacterium
Lineage: Bacteria
Description: partial 16S ribosomal RNA
Rfam family: Bacterial small subunit ribosomal RNA
Source: RNAcentral
GAUGAACGCUAGCUACAGGCUUAACACAUGCAAGUCGAGGGGCAGCAUGGUCUUAGCUUGCUAAGGCCGAUGGCGACCGGCGCACGGGUGAGUAACACGUAUCCAACCUGCCGUCUACUCUUGGACAGCCUUCUGCAAGGAAGAUUAAUACAAGAUGGCAUCAUGAGUCCGCUUGUUCACAUGAUUAAAGGUAUUCCGGUAGACGAUGGGGAUGCGUUCCAUUAGAUAGUAGGCGGGGUAACGGCCCACCUAGUCUUCGAUGGAUAGGGGUUCUGAGAGGAAGGUCCACCACAUUGGAGCUGAGACACGGUCCAAACUCCUACGGAAGGCAGGAGUGAGUAAGAUUGGUCAAUGGGCGCAGGCCUGAACCAGCCAAGUAGCGUGAAAGAGGACUGGCAUAUGGGUUGUAAACUUCUUGUAUGAAGGAAUAAAGUCGGGUAUGUAUACCCGUUUGCAUGUACUUUAUGAAUAAGGAUCGGCUAACUCCGUG